Molecule: non-coding RNA, 86 nt
Filed under: unclassified sequences
Source: RNAcentral
CUGAAAACAGGCAUGCGGGGUGGACGUAUCCCCUGGGAUAUGAGCCCAUAAUCUGCCUUGAAACGGCAGGUUCAUGCUGGAUUCAG